GAUGAACGCUGGCGGCGUGCUUAACACAUGCAAGUCGAACGGAAAGGCCCAAGUUUGCUUGGGUACUCGAGUGGCGAACGGGUGAGUAACACGUGGGAGAUCUGCCCUGCACUUCGGGAUAAGCCUGGGAAACUGGGUCUAAUACCGGAUAGGCCCACUUCGUGGGUGUUGUGGUGGAAAGUUUUUUCGGUGUGGGAUGAGCUCGCGGCCUAUCAGCUUGUUGGUGGGGUAAUGGCCUACCAAGGCGUCGACGGGUAGCCGGCCUGAGAGGGUGUACGGCCCCAUUUGGACUGAGGAACGGCCCAGACUCCUACGGGGGGCAGCAGUGGGGAAUAUUGCACAAUGGGCGCAAGCCUGAUGCAGCGAAGCCGGGUGGGGGGUGACGGCCUUCGGGUUGUAAACUCCUUUCGCUAGGGGCGAAGCGUUUUGUGACGGUACCUGGAGAAGAAGCACCGGCUAACUACGUG
RNAcentral lists this ribosomal RNA (467 nucleotides) under uncultured bacterium. RNAcentral describes it as "partial 16S ribosomal RNA". It matches the Rfam family "Bacterial small subunit ribosomal RNA", at positions 28 to 507 of the family's 1533-position model. The record is from RNAcentral.